AUGAACGCUGGCGGCGUGCCUAAUACAUGCAAGUCGAGCGAACAGAUGAGGAGCUUGCUCCUCUGACGUUAACGGCGGACGGGUGAGUAACCCGUGGAUAACCUACCUAUAAGACUGGGAUAACUUCGGGAAACCGGAGCUAAUACCGGAUAAUAUAUUGAACCGCAUGGUUCAAUAGUGAAAGACGGUUUUGCUGUCACUUAUAGAUGGAUCCGCGCCGCAGUAGCUAGUUGGUAAGGUAACGGCUUACCAAGGCAACGAUGCGUAGCCGACCUGAGAGGGUGAUCGGCCACACUGGAACUGAGACACGGUCCAGACUCCUACGGGAGGCAGCAGUAGGGAAUCUUCCGCAAAGGGCGAAAGCCUGACGGAGCAACGCCGCGUGAGUGAUGAAGGUCUUCGGAUCGUAAAACUCUGUUAUUAGGGAAGAACAAAUGUGUAAGUAACUAUGCACGUCUUGACGGUACCUAAUCAGAAAGCCACGGCUAACUACGUG
This 496-nucleotide ribosomal RNA is filed under the name uncultured bacterium. RNAcentral's name for it is "partial 16S ribosomal RNA". It matches the Rfam family "Bacterial small subunit ribosomal RNA", at positions 29 to 507 of the family's 1533-position model. The record is from RNAcentral.